Molecule: ribosomal RNA, 639 nt
Filed under: uncultured bacterium
Lineage: Bacteria
Description: bacterial SSU rRNA
Rfam family: Bacterial small subunit ribosomal RNA
Source: RNAcentral
GCUUAACGUUGCGCGUGCAGUGGGUACGGGCUGACUAGAGUGCAGUAGGGGAGUCUGGAAUUCCUGGUGUAGCGGUGAAAUGCGCAGAUAUCAGGAGGAACACCGGUGGCGAAGGCGGGACUCUGGGCUGUAACUGACACUGAGGAGCGAAAGCAUGGGGAGCGAACAGGAUUAGAUACCCUGGUAGUCCAUGCCGUAAACGUUGGGCACUAGGUGUGGGGGACAUUCCACGUUCUCCGCGCCGUAGCUAACGCAUUAAGUGCCCCGCCUGGGGAGUACGGUCGCAAGGCUAAAACUCAAAGGAAUUGACGGGGGCCCGCACAAGCGGCGGAGCAUGCGGAUUAAUUCGAUGCAACGCGAAGAACCUUACCAAGGCUUGACAUACACUGGACCGUUCUGGAAACAGUUCUUCUCUUUGGAGCUGGUGUACAGGUGGUGCAUGGUUGUCGUCAGCUCGUGUCGUGAGAUGUUGGGUUAAGUCCCGCAACGAGCGCAACCCUCGUUCUAUGUUGCCAGCACGUGAUGGUGGGAACUCAUAGGAGACUGCCGGGGUCAACUCGGAGGAAGGUGGGGAUGACGUCAAAUCAUCAUGCCCUUUAUGUCUUGGGCUUCACGCAUGCUACAAUGGCUGGUACAGAG